GCUGGUGCAUCGGUUGUCACGCCAGUGGCACGGCCGAGCAGCUAUGUGCGGAAUGGAUAAACGCUGAAAGCAUCUAAGCGUGAAGCCAACUCCAAGAUAAGAUAUCCCACAGCAAAAGCUGGUAAGACCCCUUUUAGACUAAGAGGUUGAUAGGCUGCAUGUGUAAGCACAGCGAUGUGUUUAGCUAGGCAGUACUAAUAGGUCGAGGGCUUGACUUU
RNAcentral lists this ribosomal RNA (218 nucleotides) under Clostridiales bacterium. Its description in RNAcentral is "partial 23S ribosomal RNA". It matches the Rfam family "Bacterial large subunit ribosomal RNA", at positions 2708 to 2925 of the family's 2925-position model. The record is from RNAcentral. Lineage: Bacteria; Bacillati; Bacillota; Clostridia; Eubacteriales.